Molecule: ribosomal RNA, 452 nt
Filed under: uncultured marine bacterium
Lineage: Bacteria
Description: bacterial SSU rRNA
Rfam family: Bacterial small subunit ribosomal RNA
Source: RNAcentral
AAUAUUGGACAAUGGGGGAAACCCUGAUCCAGCGAUGCCGCGUGGGUGAAGAAGGCCUUCGGGUUGUAAAGCCCUUUAGGUUGGGAAGAAGUGCAUCUGUUUAAGAGAUAGAUGUGUUGACGGUACCAACAAAAUAAGCACCGGCAAACUCUGUGCCAGCAGCCGCGGUAAUACAGAGGGUGCAAGCGUUAAUCGGAUUUACUGGGCGUAAAGAGCAUGUAGGUGGUUGUGUGUGUGUGAUGUGAAAGCCCCGGGCUUAACCUGGGAAGUGCAUCGCAAACUGCACAACUAGAGUAUAGGAGAGGGUGAUGGAAUUUCCGGUGUAGCGGUGAAAUGCGUAGAGAUCGGAAGGAACGUCGAUGGCGAAGGCAGUCACCUGGCCUAAUACUGACACUGAGAUGCGAAAGCGUGGGGAGCGAACAGGAUUAGAUACCCUGGUAGUCCACGCCGUA